GACGAACGCUGGCGGCGUGCCUAAUACAUGCAAGUUGAGCGCUGAAGGUUGGUACUUGUACUGACUGGAUGAGCAGCGAACGGGUGAGUAACGCGUGGGGAAUCUGCCUUUGAGCGGGGGACAACAUUUGGAAACGAAUGCUAAUACCGCAUAAAAACUUUAAACACAAGUUUUAAGAUUGAAAGAUGCAAUUGCAUCACUCAAAGAUGAUCCCGCGUUGUAUUAGCUAGUUGGUGAGGGAAAGGCCCACCAAGGCGAUGGUACAUAGCCGACCUGGGAGGGUGAUCGGCCACCUUGGGACUGAGACACGGCCCAAACUCCUACGGGAGGCAGCAGUAGGGGAUCUUCGGCCAUGGACGAAAGUCUGACCGAGCAACGCCGCGUGAGUGAAGAAGGUUUUCGGAUCGUAAAACUCUGUUGGUAGAGAAGAACGUUGGUGAGAGUGGAAAGCUCAUCAAGUGACGGUAACUACCCAGAAAGCGACGGCUAACUACGUG
Molecule: ribosomal RNA, 497 nt
Filed under: uncultured bacterium
Lineage: Bacteria
Description: partial 16S ribosomal RNA
Rfam family: Bacterial small subunit ribosomal RNA
Source: RNAcentral